UCCAGAGGGAGCGAUCGUUGUUCGGAAUUACUGGGCGUAAAGGGCGCGUAGGCGGCCUUGUAAGUCUCGUGUGAAAUCCCUCGGCUCAACUGAGGAACUGCACGGGAAACUGUUUGGCUUGAGUUCGGGAGAGGGAAGCGGAAUUCCGGGUGUAGCGGUGAAAUGCGCAGAUAUCCGGAGGAACACCAGUGGCGAAGGCGGCUUCCUGGACCGACACUGACGCUGAGGCGCGAAAGCUAGGGGAGCAAACAGG
This 253-nucleotide ribosomal RNA is filed under the name uncultured bacterium. Its description in RNAcentral is "partial 16S ribosomal RNA". It matches the Rfam family "Bacterial small subunit ribosomal RNA", at positions 524 to 776 of the family's 1533-position model. The record is from RNAcentral.